UUAAAAGCUAUGAUGAAGAGUAGUAGAUAAUCUAAGCUUACAGAGAGGGAAUUCCUAGGUUGAAAGUAUUCCUAAGUACUUAAUUAUUGAAGUAGCUUCUGAGCUAUUAGACUGAAAGUAAGUAGGUUUAAUCGGUUGCUAGCCGUUAUUUAGUCUUAAGUUAAGGUGUCUAAAAGUAUAUCUUUUAGAAACUAAGGUGGUACCGCGGGAGUAAACCUUCUUUCGUCCUUGUC
RNAcentral lists this non-coding RNA (233 nucleotides) under Selenihalanaerobacter shriftii. RNAcentral's name for it is "T-box sequence". It matches the Rfam family "T-box leader". Rfam says of the family: Uncharged tRNA acts as the effector for transcription antitermination of genes in the T-box leader family. T-boxes are found upstream of many aminoacyl-tRNA synthetase genes and some amino acid biosynthetic genes usually in Gram-positive bacteria. The record is from RNAcentral. Lineage: Bacteria; Bacillati; Bacillota; Clostridia; Halanaerobiales; Halobacteroidaceae.